RNAcentral lists this ribosomal RNA (491 nucleotides) under uncultured bacterium. RNAcentral's name for it is "partial 16S ribosomal RNA". It matches the Rfam family "Bacterial small subunit ribosomal RNA", at positions 28 to 507 of the family's 1533-position model. The record is from RNAcentral.
GAUGAACGCUGGCUACAGGCUUAACACAUGCAAGUCGAGGGGAAACGACGGGGAAGCUUGCUUCCCCGGAAGUCGACCGGCGUACGGGUGAGUAACGCGUAUCCCACCUGCCUCUGACUUAGUGAUAACCCGUCGAGAGUCGGCCUAAUACCUCAGGGUGUCUUCUGCGGGCAUCCAACGACGAUUAAAGAUUUCAUCGUUCAGGGAUGGGGUUGCGUCUGAUUAGCUUGUUGGCGGGGUAACGGCCCACCAAGGCUACGAUCAGUAGGGGUUCUGAGAGGAAGAGCCCGCACAAUGGAACUGAGAAACCGUCCAAACACCUACGGGAGGCAGCAGUGCGGAAGAUUGGUAGAUGGAGGAGAGCCUGAACCAGGCAAGUAGCGUGCAGGAAGACGGGCCGAGGGGUUGUAAACUGCUUUUAUGCGGGGAUCAGGUGAGGGAAGUGACGCUCAUUGAAGGUACCGCAUGAAUAAGGACCGGCUAAUUCCGUG